CAGAAUUUUCUUGGAAGAGAAAAGCCUUGGUGAGCUGAGAUCCAGUGAUGCUACUACCUCCACUACCAUUCCUGCUGGCUCAUUUCCUUGGUCAUUCCAGACAAUUUUGUAUCUAGGAGAAGCCUCAUCUUUCCAGGACGUGAUUGUUAGACAUCCAAUCCCUUUCUGAUGCCUGCACAGCUGUCUGUCACUGAGCAGACUACAGAAAACAGAUCCUGUGUGGAACAUCAUUGCCUUUGGUAAAGAAAGAAGACCACGAGGAAGCUCCUUGAGGACUUCAAUAUUGUCAUUCUAAAAUACUGCUAAGUGCUAAAAUUGGUGUAAUCAACUAGAAAACCUCUGGACACCUUUUUUGUCCCUAUCUCCAGUACUAUCAUUAAGAUUGACAGUACAAAAUAUUAGAUGUAAACAGGAAUUCCCAACAGCUUUUCAAGAAAGGUGUCUUGCUGUUUUUAUUUUAUGAGGUUUAGUGACAUCUAAAGCUUACACCUGAUUUACAAGUAUUUUUCUUUUUACACUUUUAUUAUAGUUUUGUGUCCUUCUUCUUUUGCGUCCUUACAAAGUUCUGAGUUCCAAUUACAAUAACCUACCUUAAAGGACAGCUUCUCAAUGUUAUUUUUCUGUGAGAAUAACAACAGUACUGUCUGCACAGAGGAGAAAUGCUUAGCCUGCAUUAAGCUCCACACUAGCUUGAUUAAACCACUAUUAUACCAAACCAGCUUUUUUAAAAAUAGCUGAGACAUGAAAGUUUAUGACUGAAGCACAGACCCAGUCUUUGGGUGGUCAAUUAACAUGGAUUUCAUUACAAUCAAAACAUGCUAAGCCUUUGAAAAAUAAAUAAAUAAAAUAUAUAUUUAAAGACAGCAUCUUUGUAAGUAGGAUUUUCAUGAAGGACACAAAAACAUAAUGAGAAUUAUUUAUGCCAACAGCAUAUCAUUAUUUUGUCUUCAAUAAGAUGAUUUAACACACCUUGAAAUGAGUGUCUAAUAUAGGCAACAUUCUCUGAGAAGGGUGCCCACAGGAUUAUGUUGAGCUAGGAGAGAUUCUGAGGGAGAUUCUGUAUGGGACCAAGUUUAGGUGAGAUGAAUCCCUCUCAAUGGUUUUUGGAACUGGGAAGGUCAGCAGCCUCUCUUUUUCACUAGGCAAAUAAAAUGUUUGGGGAAACCAGCAGGAAAAUCGCACAAAAGAAUGAAAGCUAUAGCUACUGUGAGACAUUAUUUUCUUAAAAGAACCUGGGCCAUGUGUUAAGAAGGUGGCCACUGCCUUUAUUAAUAUUAAUUUGUUUCUGUCAUUUUUCUUAAGAGCUAUUUCUCUAUCACAUGUAUACAGAGAAAAAGGUAAGACUCAGGGUCAGGUCAUGGCUUAUUCAGCCCACAGGGAAGUGUACUGAUACGCUUUCGGCCUGGAAUGCCACAACCAACUGUAUUUAGCAGAAAGGAGGCUCCACAGAGAUGUAUUUCCUCACUCGGGUGACCAGGGAGUCCAGGAGUGGGGAAUAUUCAAAGUCUAUAUACCUUUAGUAUACUUUCUGACAUGAAGUAUGGCAGGGGGGAUGCAGUGGUUUGGGUGCAGAUUGAGGCUUCUUUGGAGAAGCUGGGCGAUGAAGAGAUAGUCAGUGACCCCCUAAGUCACAAUUUCCAUCUCAGGUUGAUACUGGGGCAACACAACUGCUCUGUAGGUUGAAAGCAGCAGUAAUGAAUGCCCUUCAGUAUUUAGUUUGUCAUUUCCCCCCACCUUUCCUUUCUUAUUAAGAAGGCAAUUCAUUUCACAUUUCAGUGAAAGGAAAGACCCCUGCAGACAGCAUGGAAGCUGGAUCAUGCUGCAACACAGUUAAUGUUACAGGACAGCACAGUGUUGCCAGCAGAACUAAUCCCAGCAGUGGCAUAUCAAAUCACCCCAUUUCCAUUUAGCAUUCAUCAGUAUCAUACACAGGCAGAUAUGGAUUUGAUCCGUGGAAUGGCAUUUGCCUUUGAUGUUCUUUAUUUAUUUAUUUAUUUUUAAAAUUCUAUUCCUCUACAUCAUGUAUUCAGCACUAAUAGGAAAUUUCUUUUCAGGAAUGAGUUCCAUUCAGUUGCUGAGCAUGUAUCAGCUACACUGCUGAUCAGCAGUGUGAUAGGGAAAUUUUAGGUUUUUUUUCCUCUGCAUAAACUUUGUCCCUUUUUCUCUGCUUUGUGUGGCUGUUCAUUUUUGACAUUUAGCAACUUAGUUGCUGCAAUUGUUCCAGAGAUUGCUUUGAUAUUUGCUCUUUUGUUGUGUUAAUAGAACCACUAGUCUCUCUUACUUUGACCUUGCAUUAUUUUGUCAAGGCUUUCAGGCUCCACAUUCUUCUGUAUAGGCAGUCCUAAUUUUCUUAAAGCUUUAAUUACAGAUUAGCCCUUCCUCCAGCACUGAAAAUGAAUUUGUUGAGCCUGUUUUAUGACAUUUACCAGAGACAAAGCUAACAUUCUUUUUUUUUUUUUUUUUCUGGUCAUGUAAUUGGUCAUUAUUUGAGUUAGCUUGCCAUUGUGUUUCAGUCAUGCACCCUGGAACAAAGUGAGAUAUUUAUUUUUUUCCAUAUAUUCAGUCUCACUGCUUCUGUGUUGAUUUUGUGGUUAGACACUUCUAGAUGUGGCCCAGUCAGAACUUUUAGCUUUUCUUCCAGUUUCCACAGCAUAAAAAUCUAUUUUGGCAUACAGUUCAUUUUUUUUUUAAUUGAAGUGUUUUCUGCCAGCAGUAUAAUUUUAGCUGCUACUGGAUAGACUGAAUAUGCUUUUACCCCUAUAGGAAAACUUAAAGUUUGGAAUAGGAAUACAUUCAAACACUACUGUGAGCUUGGAAAUAAUGUUUCAGAGGAGAACAUGGACAGACUUGAGAAUGUGAACAUUUAUGCUGCAUUUUUAGAGCUCCUUUCACAUCGAAGUCAUUUUCAUCAAUAACCACAUUACUGCCUCAGUGACCUAACACUUCUCAACUCUUAACCGUAAUCUGACUGAACUUCAUGGUGUGUUUCAGGCAUGCUGUAUAGCUGAAUCUUGUAUGAUUUUCUUCUCUUCCUAUCAUGGAGUGUCAUGAAGGCAUUCAAAAAAUCAGGUCAGACAGGUAAUGAACUCAAGGCAAGUUUAUUCUAACCAAAAUUAUUCAGCAGAAAACCAAAUAGAAACAGAGUUUAUCCAAAAUCAUUCAACACUUUCACAACAUUUUAAAUCACAGGUUCACGAUACUGGUUGGGGUUCAAUCACUGCAUGGUCAACACAGGUUUAGGGGAUCCCUGAAAUUUGGAAUGGUGAUUCAAAAUGCACACUCACUCAUAAGACAAGGACUCUCAAGGGUAACCCAGAAUGUACAGUCACUCACCAGUAAGGCAAGGGUACUCAAUCCUCGAGGAAGUUGCCUUGGGCAGUAUCUCAACCCAAGGGGAGAGUCCUUGACUGCAGACUUAUUGCUCUGAGGAGGACCAACU
Molecule: long non-coding RNA, 3439 nt
Organism: Columba livia (rock pigeon)
Lineage: Eukaryota; Metazoa; Chordata; Aves; Columbiformes; Columbidae
Exons: 3
Source: RefSeq, a predicted model, not a curated record